This 459-nucleotide ribosomal RNA is filed under the name bacterium fme09x26p50. RNAcentral describes it as "bacterial SSU rRNA". It matches the Rfam family "Bacterial small subunit ribosomal RNA", at positions 48 to 554 of the family's 1533-position model. The record is from RNAcentral.
GCUACACAUGCAGUCGAGCGAGAUCUUCGGAUCUAGCGGCGGACGGGUGAGUAACGCGUGGGAACGUGCCCUUUGCUACGGAAUAGUCCCGGGAAACUGGGUUUAAUACCGUAUACGCCCUUCGGGGGAAAGAUUUAUCGGCAAAGGAUCGGCCCGCGUUGGAUUAGGUAGUUGGUGGGGUAAUGGCCUACCAAGCCGACGAUCCAUAGCUGGUUUGAGAGGAUGAUCAGCCACACUGGGACUGAGACACGGCCCAGACUCCUACGGGAGGCAGCAGUGGGGAAUCUUAGACAAUGGGGGCAACCCUGAUCUAGCCAUGCCGCGUGAGUGAUGAAGGCCUUAGGGUUGUAAAGCUCUUUCAGCUGGGAAGAUAAUGACGGNACCAGCAGAAGAAGCCCCGGCUAACUCCGUGCCAGCAGCCGCGGUAAUACGGAGGGGGCUAGCGUUGUUCGGAAUUAC